Molecule: ribosomal RNA, 1082 nt
Filed under: Rotaliina sp. M386
Lineage: Eukaryota; Foraminifera; Rotaliida
Description: bacterial SSU rRNA
Rfam family: Eukaryotic small subunit ribosomal RNA
Source: RNAcentral
GUGGAGCAUGUGGCUUAAUUUGACUCAACGCGGGAAAUCUUACCGGGUCCGGACACACUGAGGAUUGACAGGCGAUAUUAUAAGGUACUAUGCUUAUAUGUAAAUUAUGCUAGUCCUUUCAUGAUUAUGUGAUAGGUGGUGCAUGGCCGUUCUUAGUUCGUGGAGUGAUCUGUCUGCUUAAUUGCGUUUCAUUUUAGAUGAACUAUCUUAAUAGGUACAGUUGGAAUACGUUGUUCAAGGUGAUAUUUAACGAUGUCAGUCUUCGAACGCAGUUCCGUGUACUUUAUAUGUUCUGAAAGCAACGAACGUGACCGCAAUCUCUUGUUGCCUUUAUAUAUAUUUAUGUACAGUUGCAAUUUGUGGCUUACGCUGUUUAUUGUUAGUUGUUUAUAAUUAUAUGAAAGUCAAAUUCAUUUUGAUUUUUAACAGAGGCUUUAAAACUAGAGAGACCGCUGUCUAAACCCUUAAACCAGAGGAAGGAUGCGGCAAUAACAGGUCUGUGAUGCCCUUAGAUGUUCCGGGCUGCACACGUGCUACAAUGAUUAUGGCAGUGAGCAUCUUUAUUCAUUAACGCUACUGCAGUAUAAAGUUCAAUGAUGUUUUCUGACUCUUUAAUUAGAGAAAGUCAACUGAUUGACUUUACACCUUGCAGUUUAAAGCUAAGCCUACUCCGAAAGCUAGUAGGUAAUCAAUUGAAAGUCGUGAUUUCCCUCUCAAGCACAUUAUACAGUACCUGCUGUUAGUUGUAACAUACAUUUAAUGUUAUUGUUGAUUUUAUUAUCAAUUAAUAACUGUAUUGUUCGACCCGGGUCUGUGCUUUUUAUUUAAUUCAUGGUGGGGACAGACCAUUGUUAAUUUUUGGUCUCGGUCUCAACUAGGAAUGCCUUGUACGGGUCUUUGGUUCAACAAACCACCCGGAAUACGUCCCUGCCCUUUGUACACACCGCCCGUCGCUCUUACCGAUGGACUUCUCUGUGAGUUUGAGGGACUGGGUAUCUUCACAUUUUAGCAUUUUUUCUUAACGGGGAGUUUGUUGAUUUUGAAACACCUAUGGAAACUUAAACGAACAGUGUGGUCUAAAG